This is a non-coding RNA of Felis catus (domestic cat), 85 nucleotides long. The record is from Rfam. Lineage: Eukaryota; Metazoa; Chordata; Mammalia; Carnivora; Felidae.
GCCUGGGUGGCUCAGUCGGUUAAGCGUCCGACUUCGGCUCGGGUCAUGAUCUCAUGGUGCGUGGGUUCGGGCCCCGCGUCGGGCU